RNAcentral lists this ribosomal RNA (2530 nucleotides) under human gut metagenome. Its description in RNAcentral is "bacterial LSU rRNA". It matches the Rfam family "Bacterial large subunit ribosomal RNA", at positions 3 to 2569 of the family's 2925-position model. The record is from RNAcentral.
UCAAGCUACUAAGGGCAUACGGCGGAUGCCUAGGCGCCAUCAGCCGAUGAAGGACGCGGUAAGCUGCGAAAAGCUACGGGGAACUGCAAGCAAGUAUUGAUCCGUAGAUGUCCGAAUGGAGCAAUCCGCAUGGAGAUAGUCCAUGCAUCCAUAAGUGAAUUCAUAGCUUAUGGAGGGGAACCGCCUGAACUGAAACAUCUAAGUAGGGCGAGGAAGAGACAUCAAACGAGAUUCCGUAAGUAGUGGCGAGCGAACGCGGAAGAGGGCAAACCGGGAGUAGAAAUACUUCCGGGGUAUGGACUGCUUUUAGGACUUAAUCUGUUAACCGAACGGCAUGGGAAGGCCGGUCAGAGAGUGUGAGAACCACGUAGGUGAAAACGGAGAGAGCUGCGCAGGAUCCAGAGUACGGCCAGACACGUGAAACCUGGUCGGAAUACGGGGGGACCACCCUCCAACCCUAAAUACUACCCAGUGACCGAUAGCGUAUAGUACUGUGAAGGAAAGGUGAAAAGGACCCCGGGAGGGGAGUGAAAGAGAACCUGAAACCCUGUGUUUACAAGCUGUGGAAGUAUCGAAAGGAUACAACCGCGUACUUUUUGUAGAACGGUCCGGCGAGUUACGCUUACUGGCAAGGUUAAGCACUUCAGGUGUGGAGCCGUAGGGAAACCAAGUCUUAAGAGGGCCUUAAGUCAGUAGGAGUAGACCCGAAACCGGGUGAUCUAUCCAUGUCCAGGUUGAAGCUGCCGUAAGAGGUAGUGGAGGACCGAACCCACAUCCGUUGAAAAGGGUGGGGAUGAGGUGUGGAUAGGGGAGAAAUUCCAAUCGAACCCGGAGAUAGCUGGUUCUCCUCGAAAUAGCUUUAGGGCUAGCCUCGAUACAGAUUUGCGGAGGUAGAGCACUGAAUUUCCUAGGGGGCGUCAAAGCCUACCGAAGAAUAUCAAACUCCGAAUGCCGCGUAAUUGCUUACCGGGAGUCAGACUGCACGAGAUAAGUUGGGCAGUCAAAAGGGAAAGAGCCCAGACCUACAGCUAAGGUCCCAAAGUGCGUGUUAAGUGGAAAAGGAUGUGGGAUUUCGAAGACAACUAGGAUGUUGGCUCAGAAGCAGCCAUACAUUCAAAGAGUGCGUAAUAGCUCACUGGUCGAGAGGUCCUGCGCCGAAAAUGUCCGGGGCUGAAACGCGCCACCGAAACUAAGGAACCGAAAGGUUGGUAGAGGAGCAUUGCAUGCGGGAAGAAGCAGUACCGGAAGGAGCUGUGGACUGCAUGGAAGAGAGAAUGCCGGAAUGAGUAGCGAGAAUAAGGUGAGAAUCCUUAUGGCCGAAUAUCCAAGGUUUCCAGAGUAAAGCUGAUCUGCUCUGGGUAAGUCGGGGCCUAAGGCGAGGUCGAAAGACGUAGUCGAUGGAUAACAGGUUGAAAUUCCUGUACCGCAUAUAAACAGAACUGUGGGGACGUAUGUGGAAAGCACGAGCCGGGAAUGGAAAGACCGGUACAAGCGGGGUAGGUGUACAACAGGCAAAUCCGUUGUAUAAUCCGAAGACGUGAUGUGGAGCGAAAUAAAGUAGUGAAGCGUGUGAGCCAUGUGCCAAGAAAAGCCGCUAUAGUGAUACACAUACCCGUACCGUAAACCGACACAGGUGGAUGAGGAGAGAAUCCUAAGGCCGGCGGAAGAAGCAUUGUUAAGGAACUCGGCAAAAUGACCCCGUAACUUCGGGAGAAGGGGUGCCCUGUGAAAGCAGGGCCGCAGAGAAUAGGCUCAAGCAACUGUUUAGCAAAAACACAGGUCUAUGCGAAACCGAAAGGUGAGGUAUAUGGGCUGACGCCUGCCCGGUGCUGGAAGGUUAAGAGGAGAGGUUAGCGCAAGCGAAGCUUUGAAUUUAAGCCCCAGUAAACGGCGGCCGUAACUAUAACGGUCCUAAGGUAGCGAAAUUCCUUGUCGGGUAAGUUCCGACCCGCACGAAAGGCGUAAUGAUUUGAGCACUGUCUCGACAAUGCAUCCGGUGAAAUUGAAGUACCAGUGAAGAUGCUGGUUACCUGCGCCAGGACGGAAAGACCCCAUGGAGCUUUACUCCAGCUUGAUACUGGGAUUCGGUAUUGCAUGUACAGGAUAGGUGGGAGGCUAGGAGAUGGUAACGCCAGUUGCCAUGGAGCCGCUGUUGGGAUACCACCCUUGCAGUAUUGGAUUUCUAACCUGCACCCAUGACCUGGGUGGGGGACAAUGUCUGGCGGGGAGUUUGACUGGGGCGGUCGCCUCCGAAAGGGUAUCGGAGGCGCUCAAAGGUUCCCUCAGAAUGGUUGGAAACCAUUCGAAGAGUGCAAAGGCAGAAGGGAGCUUGACUGCGACACCGACGGGUGGAGCAGGUACGAAAGUAGGACUUAGUGAUCCGGUGGUAUAAAGUGGGAUUGCCAUCGCUCAACGGAUAAAAGCUACCCUGGGGAUAACAGGCUUAUCACUCCCAAGAGUUCACAUCGACGGAGUGGUUUGGCACCUCGAUGUCGGCUCAUCGCAUCCUGGGGCUGUAGUAGGUCCCAAG